ACCAGGCAUGGUGGUAUGUGCCUAUAGUCCGAGCUACUCAGGAGGCUAAAGCAGGAGGAUAGCUUGCGUCCAGGAGUUUGGGCUGCGGUGCACUAUGCUGAUUGGGUGUCCACAUUAAGUUCAGCAUCAAUAUGGUGAACCUCCUGGGAGCAGACUAGGUUGUCUAACGAGUGGUGAACAGGCCCAGGUCAGAAAUGGAAAUGGAGCAGGUCAAAACUCCCAUGCUGAUCAGUAGUGGGAUCCCACUUAUGAAUAGCCACUGUACUCCAGCCUGAGCAACACUGUCUUU
Molecule: signal recognition particle RNA, 289 nt
Filed under: Castor canadensis (American beaver)
Lineage: Eukaryota; Metazoa; Chordata; Mammalia; Rodentia; Castoridae
Description: Metazoan signal recognition particle RNA (ENSCCNG00000019795.1)
Rfam family: Metazoan signal recognition particle RNA
About the family: The signal recognition particle (SRP) is a universally conserved ribonucleoprotein. It is involved in the co-translational targeting of proteins to membranes. The eukaryotic SRP consists of a 300-nucleotide 7S RNA and six proteins: SRPs 72, 68, 54, 19, 14, and 9.
Source: Rfam by way of RNAcentral